This 86-nucleotide ribosomal RNA is filed under the name Mannheimia haemolytica. The record is from RNAcentral. Lineage: Bacteria; Pseudomonadati; Pseudomonadota; Gammaproteobacteria; Pasteurellales; Pasteurellaceae.
GACCCCAUACCGAACUCAGAAGUAAAACGCAGUAACGUCGAUGGUAGUGUGGUGAUUCGCCAUGUGAGAGUAGAGCAUCGUCGGGU